This 618-nucleotide ribosomal RNA is filed under the name uncultured fungus. RNAcentral's name for it is "eukaryotic LSU rRNA". It matches the Rfam family "Eukaryotic large subunit ribosomal RNA", at positions 24 to 664 of the family's 3401-position model. The record is from RNAcentral. Lineage: Eukaryota; Fungi.
CCCGCUGAACUUAAGCAUAUCAAUAAGCGGAGGAAAAGAAACCAACAGGGAUUGCCCCAGUAACGGCGAGUGAAGCGGCAACAGCUCAAAUUUGAAAUCUGGCCCCUCCGGGUCCGAGUUGUAAUUUGUAGAGGAUGCUUUUGGUGAGGUGCCGCCCGAGUUCCCUGGAACGGGACGCCACAGAGGGUGAGAGCCCCGUCUGGCUGGCCACCGAGCCUCUGUAAAGCUCCUUCGACGAGUCGAGUAGUUUGGGAAUGCUGCUCAAAAUGGGAGGUAUAUGUCUUCUAAAGCUAAAUAUUGGCCAGAGACCGAUAGCGCACAAGUAGAGUGAUCGAAAGAUGAAAAGCACCUUGAAGAGAGGGUUAAACAGUACGUGAAAUUGUUGAAAGGGAAGCGCUUGUGACCAGACUUGGGCGCGGCGGAUCAUCCGGGGUUCUCUCCGGUGCACUUCGCCGCGUUCAGGCCAGCAUCAGUUCGUCGCGGGGGAAAAAGGCUUCGGGAACGUGGCUCCUCCGGGAGUGUUAUAGCCCGUUGCAUAAUACCCUGCGGUGGACUGAGGACCGCGCAUCUGCAAGGAUGCUGGCGUAAUGGUCACCAGCGACCCGUCUUGAAACACGG